GUUCUAAACUAUCACAACUGCAGAAGACAUUCAUCUACUACUCAGACAGGUAACAAUCAGACAUGAAACUCAAGACCAGUCGUCAAUAAACUCCCUGCCUGCUAAUUUCUGUCGGGACAAUGAACAUGAGCCUGGAGCAUCCCCCAGAGACUGAUCAGAAGGACCAGAAUGUCAGAGGAAGAGCCACUGAAAAUAGAUCAUAAAACAGCAGAGCCUGGCACAGUGUGUUUGAAAAGCAGCGUUUAACUCAGCCUCAGUAGAGAAAGAAGACUCAUCAUCAUCCCAUUACCUAAUGAAAUGUGGCUCUGCUAUCACAGUCAUUCAGAACACAAGAGGAGUCCAGCCAAUAGAAGUUAACAAAAUAAAAGUAAAUUCUGCAAGACAUGGAUUACCGUUCAUAGUUUACCAAGAAGGAUACUGAAUUUUACAGAAAUUAAGGACUAAGCUCAAGGUCAAUAUCUAUUUAAGUGGCAUCCCCAAAGGGUGUCCUUUCGCACAGGUAAUGCUGAACCUGAUGCCUGACCACACAUCGAGAGGAAGCUCAGGGCCUGACUGCUGAAGAUGCAAUGCUGUAGACUAUGAGGAUGGAUUGCUCAGUAGGAAAAGAGCUUUGCUGCAUAAGCAUGAAGGCCUGAGUUCAGAUCCCACCACUCAUGUAUAUGUUAGGCAUGAUUGUGCAGGUCUGAAACCCCAAUGGUGGGGAGCCAAAGACAGGCAGACCCUGGAUGACUUGCUGGCAAGCCAGACUAUCCAAUUCAGGUGAGCUCAGUGAAAGACUGUCUCAAACACUAAGGUGAAAGGAGAUAGAAGAAGACACCCAGAAUCAACCUCUGGCCUCCAACAUGUGCACACACAGGAAAGUGCACACAUAGCAUGUAUGCAUACAUGCAAAACACACACACACACACACCCUACAAAAACUAGAAUUUAAGAAAAUAAUAAUAAUACAGCUUAAAAAUAAAACAAAACAGCAAAACUGCCUUGACUUCAAAGGGACAUAAAUGGCAGUCAACAGCCAUAUGCUCAUCCUGACUGACAACCCCUAUGACUUAAGUGUCAACAUUUCCCCAAAACAGCAAGAAAAAAGUUGCAAGUGAUUUUAAAUGUUUAUGUGUCUUAAUGCGAUUCGAUCCAUCUGAAAGCUCCCAUCAUUUUGGAUCGUCUCCAUUUUGGAAGAGUUAGGAAAACAGUUGGCAGUACUUUGUGCAUUUUGUUUUAAUUGAGGGGAGGGCAUUUGAGAUCUGCAACUAAAAGAGAGGUUUGGUUUGGCUGUGAUGAACUCGCGUCAUUCACAAUCUGAACUCAUUUUGAGGAAAACAACAACCGUCACACUAGUCACUUUUGCCAGGGGAGGAGGUGGGGUGAAUACUACAGGAAAGAGCUUAUUGAUAGUACCACAGGACCACAGAUCAGUCAUCAAAAGAGCAGAGAAAAUUCCACGAGCCACCAGUUGACAUUUUUUUUUAAAAGAAUAGACUUUCAUCAUGGUACUUUUGAAAGGAUUGAUAAUAAUCAGCCUUUGAUAAUUGAUAAUAAUAUCUCUGUGCCUGUGGAUGAGUUAAAUAUUCAAUUUUGCACAUUGAAGAAUGACAUCGGGUAUGUAAUCUGAGGCCCUCAGUGACAGGAAAUAAGUAAAACAUCUCUGAGGGGAUCCUCUCUUUUCUUUUUCUUUUCCUUUUUUCUUUUUGUCACAAAAGGAAAAGCUCAGAAAUCCCACUGCUUAGCUCUAAGAUCCUGGAAAAAUUGUAAAUGGCUCUGUUUACCUGCGGACUCAUUCUGUACCUGUAAACCUAAUAUUUACUCAUGGAGUAAUGUUCAAGAAAGCUUAUGUCCUUGUGAGGCUAACUACAACAUCCUCUCUCUAAACAAUCCACAAGCUGUGAAAGUGGAGGAGAUGGUGAUAAAGCAUGAUAUUCUUCCAUGAUGUUGGACCACAGAAAGUGGAAUGCAGUUGAGUGUUAUUUCCCGUGAGAUGAACUCCAGUUAUAGCUCAAUGUUUUGGGUUUCUCGUUCAAUCAAUAAACAAAUCUGGAGGGGAUGGCAGCAUGAAAUACCUCCUCGGGAGGAAGUUGCUUGUCUCCCUUUGCAGCCCUUCUGCCAUGAAAAUCAGGCCAAGAGGCUGAAGCCAAAUGCUUCAGAGGAGAAAGAAGUGAUGCAAAACCAGAUCUUCCCAAAAGAGAAACUGGGAAGCCCUGCUGCCAAAGGAGACCUUGGGGAAGAGCAGAAGAGGGGAGCAAGGAUGUGUCCUCCCAGCCAUCUUCAGGUCACAUCAUCUUCGGAUAUGAAGGUACAAGGUAAAUGAAGCUGAAUGCACAGUGUUCAGGACUUCCACUGCAAAUAUCAGAAUAAAGGAGGAAUUCCUCCAAAGCAUUGUCCUGAGAUAAAGGGCCAAGGGAAAGGAAGGCCAAAAAUGGAGACUAGCAGAGCCCAGCAGGAAUAUAAGGUGCAACUAAAAUGCUCAAGUUAGGGCUGGGAGGGGGUUCAGUCAUAAAGUGCUUGCCAUGCAAGGCUAACCCACACACACCUGUAAUCCCAGCACAUGGGAGACAGAGAUGGGCAGGUCACCUGGGGCUUGCAGACCACCCCAUCUAGCUGAACUGAGUGGGCUCCAGCUUCAGUGAGAGACUGUCUCAGACUAUAAGAUGGAAAACUUAUAGGAAGGCACUGAACUCCAGUCUCUGCACACACACACACACACACACACACACACACACACACACACACACACACAGGCGCACACACACAGUGUUUGAGUAGCCUCAUUUUGCAAAAUAAAAAGAAGCUGGCUGAAAUGGUUAGUUCCUGUAAUCCAGGAAUUUGAGAGAGAGAGGCAAGAGGAUUUCCAAGUGAAGGCCAACCUGGGCUACUUAAUAAGACUCUACCUUACAACCCUUCCCCCAAGUAGAAAUAAACAGGUAAAAUUAAUUUUGAAUAUUGAACCCAAUAUAAUGGAAACAUUGGUAUGUAAGUAAUGUGGUAUUAACCAGAUAGCUUAACUUUCGUAUUUCAAUUUAUUGGAUCUCCUUUACCGUACCUCAAUUCAGUCAACUCAUUGGUUCUACUGAUUUCUCUCUCUCUCUCUCUCUCUCUCUCUCUCUCUCUCUCUCUCUCUCUCUCUCUCUCUUUGGAGGGAGGGUAUGGGUGUGGUCUCAUGUAACCCAGGGUGGCCUUGAAUUCACUAUAUAGCCAAGGAUGACCUUGAAUUUCUGAUAUUCCGGCCACCUCUUCCUGAAUGCUAGGAUUGCAGGUGUUCGCCACCGUUCCCUGUUUCUGUCCCC
Non-coding RNA from Peromyscus maniculatus bairdii (prairie deer mouse), 3278 nucleotides. NCBI's taxonomy places the organism in Eukaryota, Metazoa, Chordata, Mammalia, Rodentia, Cricetidae. The record is from RefSeq and is a predicted model, not a curated record.